RNAcentral lists this ribosomal RNA (769 nucleotides) under uncultured bacterium. Its description in RNAcentral is "bacterial SSU rRNA". It matches the Rfam family "Bacterial small subunit ribosomal RNA", at positions 8 to 796 of the family's 1533-position model. The record is from RNAcentral.
AGAGUUUGAUCCUGGCUCAGAACGAACGCUGGCGGCAGGCUUAACACAUGCAAGUCGAACGCGUGUAGCAAUACACGAGUGGCGCACGGGUGAGUAACGCGUGGAUAUCUGCCUUUUGGUUCGGAAUAACUCCGGGAAACUGGAGCUAAUACCGGAUGGUUCCUACGGGAUAAAGAUUUAUCGCCAAAAGAUGAGUCCGCGUACGAUUAGCUAGUUGGUGAGGUAAUGGCUCACCAGGGCGACGAUCGUUAGCUGGUCUGAGAGGACGAUCAGCCACACUGAAACUGAGACACGGUCCAGACUCCUACGGGAGGCAGCAGUGGGGAAUUUUGGACAAUGGGCGCAAGCCUGAUCCAGCAAUGCCGCGUGCAGGAUGAAGGCCUUCGGGUUGUAAACUGCUUUUGUACGGAACGAAACGGCUCUUUCUAAUAAAGAGGGCUAAUGACGGUACCGUAAGAAUAAGCACCGGCUAACUACGUGCCAGCAGCCGCGGUAAUACGUAGGGUGCGAGCGUUAAUCGGAAUUACUGGGCGUAAAGCGUGCGCAGGCGGUGAUGUAAGACAGAUGUGAAAUCCCCGGGCUCAACCUGGGACCUGCAUUUGUGACUGCAUCGCUAGAGUACGGUAGAGGGGGAUGGAAUUCCGCGUGUAGCAGUGAAAUGCGUAGAUAUGCGGAGGAACACCGAUGGCGAAGGCAAUCCCCUGGACCUGUACUGACGCUCAUGCACGAAAGCGUGGGGAGCAAACAGGAUUAGAUACCCUGGUAGUCC